This is a long non-coding RNA of Corapipo altera (White-ruffed manakin), 3023 nucleotides long. RefSeq lists it as uncharacterized. The record is from RefSeq and is a predicted model, not a curated record. The transcript has 2 exons. NCBI's taxonomy places the organism in Eukaryota, Metazoa, Chordata, Aves, Passeriformes, Pipridae.
CCGUCCCCACAGUUCUUUCCUUUCCUGUAUCACUUUAGUGACGCUCCCACAGUGCUGAUGGUCCUUUCUGUCCUCCCCUGCCCACAGCUGGCACGUUACACGAAGGAGGGGUUCCUUCACCUGGGUGCCCUGGGCACCACGACCCUGCUCCCAGACACCCGGUGCCUGGUGGAUAACGGGAAGAGCCGCUUCCCGCAGCUCCUGGACUGUGAGAAGGUCAAGAGCAGCCUCCACAAGCGCUGGAGUUUCAUCCAGAAUGGUGCCAUCCUGAACAAGGGCACAGGACGGUGCCUGGAAGUGGAGAACAAGGGAAUGGCUGGAAUCGAUCUGAUCCUUCGCAGCUGCACAGGACAAAGGUGGACAAUUAAAAACUUCAUCAAGUAAAGGCUGAAAGAGUCAGGGGAGUGUGACUCCAACCACAGCUGACCUGGACUGAUCCGACGGGACUCCUUUGGAAAGGAUGGAAUAUCAAAACAGAGCUUUAUUCAUAUUAUCAGGAGAGGACAUGGGGGAAAUGGGCAUCGCUUUCUUUCUUUUGUUGUGUUGAAAUCUCCCCCAGCUGAUCCCAGCUGUGUGAAACUGGGGCAGAACUGCUGGUUCCUUCUGCAGAGCUCUCGGGGAGGUGCUGCUGGGACGACUGGAAUGAGCUCCUGCAGCCCCAGGAGCGUCGUGCUGACAGGGAAUUGUUGCUUUCCCAGACAACUCCAAGCCCUGCCAAAGGGCUGGGUAGGUUCAGGGUCAUCCACCCUAGAUACACCUGCCUGGCAAGGGUGAAAAUUUGGGUGCUUGUGAGAGGAAAAUGUCACCAGGCCCCAAAGGAGAGGAGGGUGAAGGACGUGCUGUCUUGCUGGGUCCUUGCUUUCUUUUCCCUUCCUUGCCCCUGCAUCCAGCAGCCCCUUUCCUGAGUGCUGGAGGAACAAAACACACCCUUCAUCCCCCCUGCUCUUAACCUCAGAUAUCCUCAAACAAAAUGCCACUGAAUAAACCCACUGAUCUCCCAUUUCCCCCCUCCCUCACCCAUGUGCUGAGCAGCACCAGUCCCUCCCAUGGAGACCCCAAAUUCCCCUUGGGAACGAUGUGGGAUGUCUGCCUACCCUUUGGGGGCAUCAGGAAUGGUGGUCUCCCUAACUCUGCAGUGGUGUCCUCUUCCCUGUCCUGCCUGCUCCGUAUGUCACCAUGGUCAAGGCCCUCCCCAGACUGUCCUUGUCCCUUCAGACCUUCCCAAGCUCUGGAAGGAGCAGAGAGGGAAGGCAAGAGACCAAAAAAUGGCACUUUGGCUGAAAUUCUUGACCUGCAAGUCACUUCAGGCUUGUUAAUGUGGUGGACUGGUCUCACAAUAAUUUUGGCUGCCAACUCUUGGCUCCCAAACCCACCCAACUGUCACAGGAGACCACUGUUUGGGGCCCUGGUGUCUGGCUCACCUGGAAAAGGGAAAUAUGGUCCCUGCACAAUUGCUGCCCAUGGAUGGACACAGGCCUUGCCCAGCAGAGAGGAGAAGCCAGCCCUUCUCCUGUCCUUCUCACAGAAUAAUACUCUUUCUGGUUGCCCUCUGGCUAGGGUGCACUAAAAUAUAUUAAUAUAUGAGAUGUAUGUGUAAAUAUGGCUCCCAAAGAUGGGAUGUGCACAGAGUUGUUUGCUGCAGAGCACUCAUGCCUGUCUUCCAUUUGCAUCAGGAUGAAGCUACCUGGAUGUUUAACGAGUUUAAUUUUCAAUGCCAUGCAGCAGGUUUAUAACUGAUGUUUUAGUAAUUUAUUGAACAGAAGCAGAUAUAUUUCAUUGUUCCUUCUACAGCAACGUAGGACUGAUUGUUCAUUUAGGCUUUACAGGACUCCCUCAAGCAUUAGGGUUGUCCCUGAUUUUUUUCCCUUGCCUUCCUUAAUGAAGUAAAACCUCUUAGUUGUCCUGAACUGCAAAGUAGGGAGUCAAUGUAGAAUUCUGCUCUCCUUCUUCGCUGUUGCAUCAUCUCUCGUGUAAUAAAUCUCAGCCCUUACCAACCCCGAUAUGAUCACAAAUCUUUAGAUGCAUGAUAUGUUUUCCCCCUUCCGUUUGUUGCUGCCUUCUAAGAAAAGCAAUUUGCUGCUGAAGUGGACUCCAGGCAGGUCCGGGGGGUUGGUCAAACUGCUAAAAAGCCCUUUAAUUGAGCAAUCAGUCUGCUGUCAGUCACCAGCGGCAGCCACGUGUGGGUCAGAGGAGGGAAAAGCCUGCAUGUUUCAGGAUAAACAACCAAAAAUGUUGUAGAAUUCCUAGUUCCCAGUCCAGCUCGAGUCCUGCCAGUGCCCAGGGCACCAGCAGAUGGGCUUUGUCACAUUCAAUCGUGGUGGGAUGAGGUGCCACCCCCCAGCCCUCCGUCUGCCCCGCUGCUACCGGCAGCACCACUGAAUGUGUGGCUUCUCCUCGGCUCCCAUCCCUGGCAGGAGCUGCUCCAGCUGCCAGGCAGGAGGGACUGGCUGUGUUUAGCUCCCUGGAUUGUCACCACAGCCCCUCUGGGAUGUCCCUGUGUCCAGCAGCCCCCAGCAGAGCAUCUCCCAGCGCCAUCGGUGCCAUCCCUGCGCUCAGGGGGCACAAGACGAGGAUCCUGCUGGUGAUGAGCUCUUUGAUCCUUUAUUAAGGUUCACAGAUGCCUUUCCUUCAUGCUCCAUGUGGAAAACAACCCCCUGACUCUCCACAAGGAAGGGGAAGCUGGAAAUGAUCACUCAGAGCCCCCGCUGAGGUAUUUGCCCCUUGUUGCUGCUGUAAUUGCAGCUUUCAAUGACUGAGAAGAAUCAGGAAAAUCAGCACGAGCAAAAUGAGGAAUGAAAGUGAGAAUUUAAUCUGCUGUGUCUGUGCAAGUGAAAUUCUGACACUGGUUUGUGACAUGCAGAGGUGAUUGCUGAGGCCACGGCCCGAGGUCUGCGCCCUCCGAAACCGUAGGAAUCUGUCUUAGAAAUCUGGGUCUAAUUGUUGCAUCUUGGCUUAUCUCUAAUAAUAUGUUAAUUGCUUUAAGAAGUGAUAUCCAAGUGAUUCUUAUUAAAUAUAUGAUUUGA